This 253-nucleotide ribosomal RNA is filed under the name uncultured bacterium. RNAcentral describes it as "partial 16S ribosomal RNA". It matches the Rfam family "Bacterial small subunit ribosomal RNA", at positions 524 to 776 of the family's 1533-position model. The record is from RNAcentral.
UACGUAGGGGGCGAGCGUUGUCCGGAAUCACUGGGGGUAAAGGGCGCGUAGGUGGCGCCGCAAGUCCAUGGUGAAAGCUCGAUGCUCAACAUCGAGUCGGCCACGGAGACUGCGGGGCUCGAGCACUGUAGGGGCAGAUGGAAUUCCGGGUGUAGCGGUGGAAUGCGUAGAGAUCCGGAAGAACACCGGUGGCGAAGGCGGUCUGCUGGGCAGUUGCUGACACUGAGGCGCGACAGCGUGGGGAGCAAACAGG